Molecule: long non-coding RNA, 1062 nt
Filed under: Homo sapiens (human)
Lineage: Eukaryota; Metazoa; Chordata; Mammalia; Primates; Hominidae
Description: HSALNT0043224
Source: RNAcentral
GGUGACUUUCCCAGCCAUGCCUGCAAUGGAAAAUUCCAUCCCCUGACUCAUGCACAGUAAGGGGAACAAAGCAAUAUGGAAUAGCUCAAGGGACCAAGAGGAGGCCCAGGAAAAGGAGAGGAAACACAAGAAAAAGGCAGAGAGAGGGAUACCUUGAAAUGGAAUGCAGGCCUGGGACUCCAUAAGCCUGCUGUUCCAGCCAGCCUGGACACAAUUGCAGAAACUAGUUGUUUUACUAAGGCUUUGACUGGAAGGAUAUGCUUCCCUUUGAGGAAUCAAGCUUGGCGUACAGAGCCAAUAAAAGCCCCUUGGGGAAACUGGCUUCAUACCUUGUCUAUACAGUCCCUGUACAGGGUUCCUAACCUGUGGCUAUCAAGCUCCAAAUGGUAAUGCAAAUGAAAUCACACAUGGACACGCCUUUCUUCCAAGGACUCUCAGACCAGCCCUAGGAGGAAUCGUAGCUGCUGUUCCCCACACAAAGCUACUCUGUAGCAGCAAGUAGCCGCAAGGCUCAUCGCCCCAUCUCCCUAACAGCACUUAGGGUCUCCACUCCUGAGGCGGGGGGGGGGGAAAUGAAAGAGUAGAAAGGAAGAAACUGAUUAGGCAGGCAGUUAGCUGGGUCCUCAGUUGAAUUAUUUCAAACAGAAGAACAACCUGCAAGCACAGAUAAGGGAACCUGCAUAGGAGGGCUUGCCUAAGAUAUGCCCACAGCCACACAGAUAAGAAAGCCUACACAGGUGACUUGCCUGGACACGCCUGCAAUGGAAAAUUCUGUCCCCUGACACAUGCACGGUAAGGGGAACAAAGCAAUAUGGAGUGACUCAAGCUAAGGACCUACAUGCGCACUAGGAGGAUAGGGUGGAGCUAGCAGAAGUUUGUGCCUUAUGCAAAUGAGAUGCCAAGGCCUCAUCAGUUUCUUAUAAAAGCCUUUACAUUCAACUGUUAAAAUGGCUAUCCUCUUCUGGACCCCCCUCCAUGGCAGAGAGCUUUCUUUUUUUGCUUAUUAAACGUUCACUCCAACCUCAUCCUUUGUGACCACGCUUCUUAAAUUUCUUGGUCAUG